RNAcentral lists this ribosomal RNA (241 nucleotides) under uncultured bacterium. RNAcentral describes it as "partial 16S ribosomal RNA". It matches the Rfam family "Bacterial small subunit ribosomal RNA", at positions 524 to 758 of the family's 1533-position model. The record is from RNAcentral.
UACAGAGGGUGCAAGCGUUGUUCGGAAUUAUUGGGUCGUAAAGCGCGCGUAGGCGGCCUUGCAAGUUGGGUUGUGAAAGGCCCUCGCCUUAACCGAGGAAGUGCGCCCGAAAACUACAAGGCUUGAAUACCGGAGAGGAUGGUGGAAUUCCCGGUGUAGAGGUGAAAUUCGUAGAUAUCGGGAGGAACACCAGUGGCGAAGGCGACCCUCUGGACGGCUAUUGACGCUGAGACGGACGAAA